RNAcentral lists this ribosomal RNA (429 nucleotides) under Bacteroidota bacterium. Its description in RNAcentral is "Bacteroidetes bacterium partial 16S ribosomal RNA". It matches the Rfam family "Bacterial small subunit ribosomal RNA", at positions 355 to 776 of the family's 1533-position model. The record is from RNAcentral. Lineage: Bacteria; Pseudomonadati; Bacteroidota.
UAGGGAAUCUUCGGCAAUGGGGGGAACCCUGACCGAGCAACGCCGCGUGAGUGAAGAAGGUUUUCGGAUCGUAAAGCUCUGUUGUUAAGGAAGAACGAGUGUGAGAAUGGAAAGUUCAUACUGUGACGGUACUUAACCAGAAAGGGACGGCUAACUACGUGCCAGCAGCCGCGGUAAUACGUAGGUCCCGAGCGUUGUCCGGAUUUAUUGGGCGUAAAGCGAGCGCAGGAGGUUAGAUAAGUCUGAAGUUAAAGGCAGUGGCUCAACCAUUGUAGGCUUUGGAAACUGUUUAACUUGAGUGCAGAAGGGGAGAGUGGAAUUCCAUGUGUAGCGGUGAAAUGCGUAGAUAUAUGGAAGAACACCGGUGGCGAAAGCGGCACUCUUGUCUGUAACUGACGCUGAGGCUCGAAAGCGUGGGGAGCGAACAGG